GAUGAACGCUGGCGGCGUGCUUAACACAUGCAAGUCGAACGGAAAGGCCCAAGCUUGCUUGGGUACUCGAGUGGCGAACGGGUGAGUAACACGUGGGUGAUCUGCCCUGCACUUCGGGAUAAGCCUGGGAAACUGGGUCUAAUACCGGAUAGGACCACUUCUUGGAUGUUGUGGUGGAAAGUUUUUUCGGUGUGGGAUGAGCUCGCGGCCUAUCAGCUUGUUGGUGGGGUAAUGGCCUACCAAGGCGUCGACGGGUAGCCGGCCUGAGAGGGUGUACGGCCACAUUGGGACUGAGAUACGGCCCAGACUCCUACGGGAGACAGCAGUGGGGAAUAUUGCACAAUGGGCGCAAGCCAGAUGCAGCGACGCCGCGUGGGGGAUGACGGCCUUCGGGUUGUAAACUCCUUUCGCUAGGGACGAAGCGUUUUGUGACGGUACCUGGAGAAGAAGCACCGGCUAACUACGUG
This 467-nucleotide ribosomal RNA is filed under the name uncultured bacterium. RNAcentral describes it as "partial 16S ribosomal RNA". It matches the Rfam family "Bacterial small subunit ribosomal RNA", at positions 28 to 507 of the family's 1533-position model. The record is from RNAcentral.